AUAUUUUAGGUCAGAUUCUUGUACUUCCCAUUUUUAAACAACUGCCAAGCAUUUGUUUUUAUAUCUCCUAGACAUCUGUGCUAUUGGUGAGUACUAUUUCUAGCUAUUGACUGUCCUAAAAUAAAGGUAACAUUUCUGGGUGAUUUAUAGUCUAUCAUUAUUACAGUGCAGCCUCUGAAUGCAUGAACUAGAGAUUUACUGCACGCUUGUGUCUUAUCCCCGACUCGUGUAAUAGAGAAAAGGUAAAAUGUCUUGGCUUCGUGAUGGCUCCCUUCUUCAAGCAGCUGUCUUUUUUGGUGUGGUGCUUGCAGCUUGAUUAAACUACAUCGAGAAGACACCAAAGAGACAUCUCAGCUCUAUAAAGUCAGCUCUGAAAACACAAAGGUUAAAAACUACGAUUUGUGGUUUAAGAUACAAGAAUGUUUUCUCUUCAGAUUGACUGGGAAGACUUUCUCUUCAGACGGACAGAACUUAUAAAAAUGUUACAAGCAUCCAGAUGAAUUAUCUACAGCAAACUUCAACCUCACAGAGGAAGUUACUCGGGUGAGUUAAGAACACUGGUAACUUGUGGUCCCAAGACAAGUUUCUAAGGUCAAAAUGAAUGUGGAAGUUUUAAAAAUUACUCAGGAAUUUACUAACUCACAAACCAAAAACAAAGAAAAAUUAUGAUGACUUAGGGCCAAAUUUUGGUUAAACAACAACAGCAACAACAACAACAACCAUCCACAAAUGCAGAAAACUUGUAAGAACAACAAAAGCUUCCUAAUUACCAAUUUGUUACUCAAUGAGAUAGUUUCUGUGGUGGCUGUUAAACUUCUUAC
This 821-nucleotide long non-coding RNA is filed under the name Felis catus (domestic cat). RNAcentral's name for it is "lncRNA (ENSFCAG00000047856.1)". Lineage: Eukaryota; Metazoa; Chordata; Mammalia; Carnivora; Felidae. The record is from RNAcentral.